This 508-nucleotide ribosomal RNA is filed under the name uncultured bacterium. RNAcentral's name for it is "partial 16S ribosomal RNA". It matches the Rfam family "Bacterial small subunit ribosomal RNA", at positions 30 to 523 of the family's 1533-position model. The record is from RNAcentral.
AUUGAACGCUGGCGGCAUGCCUUACACAUGCAAGUCGAACGGCAGCGGGGGAGAAGCUUGCUUUUCCUGCCGGCGAGUGGCGAACGGGUGAGUAAUACAUCGGAACGUGCCCUGUAGUGGGGGAUAACUAGUCGAAAGAUUAGCUAAUACCGCAUACGACCUGAGGGUGAAAGUGGGGGACCGCAAGGCCUCAUGCUAUAGGAGCGGCCGAUGUCUGAUUAGCUAGUUGGGGGGGUAAAGGCCUACCAAGGCGACGAUCAGUAGCUGGUCUGAGAGGGCGAGCAGCCACACUGGGACUGAGACACGACCCAGACUCCUACGGGAGGCAGCAGUGGGGAAUUUUGGACAAUGGGCGAAAGCCUGAUCCAGCAAUGCCGCGUGUGUAAAGAAGGCCUUCGGGUUGUAAAGCACUUUUGUCCGGAAAGAAAUGGCUCUGGUUAAUACCUGGGGUCGAUGACGGUACCGGAAGAAUAAGGACCGGCUAACUACGUGCCAGCCGCCGCUGUAA